AACCCUUAUCGUUAGUUGCCAGCGGGUAAUGCCGGGAACUCUAGCGAAACUGCCGGUGUAAACCGUGAGGAAGGUGGGGAUGACGUCAAAUCAGCACGGCCCUUAUGUCCAGGGCUACACACGUGUUACAAUGGCCGGUACAGAGGGCAGCUACCUGGAGACAGGAUGCGAAUCUCCAAAGCCGGUCUCAGUUCGGAUCGGAGUCUGCAACUCGACUCCGUGAAGCUGGAUUCGCUAGUAAUCGCGCAUCAGCCAUGGCGCGGUGAAUACGUUCCCGGGCCUU
Molecule: ribosomal RNA, 283 nt
Filed under: uncultured Sphingobacteriales bacterium
Lineage: Bacteria; Pseudomonadati; Bacteroidota; Sphingobacteriia; Sphingobacteriales
Description: partial 16S ribosomal RNA
Rfam family: Bacterial small subunit ribosomal RNA
Source: RNAcentral